UAGAGUUUGAUCCUGGCUCAGAUUGAACGCUGGCGGCAGGCUUAACACAUGCAAGUCGAUACGAUGGAUUUCCCAGCUUGCUGGGAAUGAUUAGUGGCGGACGGGUGAGUAACAUUUAGGAAUCUGCCUAGUAGUGGGGGAUAGCUCGGGGAAACUCGAAUUAAUACCGCAUACGACCUACGGGUGAAAUGGGGCGCAAGCUCUUGCUAUUAGAUGAGCCUAAAUCAGAUUAGCUAGUUGGUGGGGUAAAGGCCCACCAAGGCGACGAUCUGUAACUGGUCUGAGAGGAUGAUCAGUCACACCGGAACUGAGACACGGUCCGGACUCCUACGGGAGGCAGCAGUGGGGAAUAUUGGACAAUGGGGGCAACCCUGAUCCAGCCAUGCCGCGUGUGUGAAGAAGGCCUUUUGGUUGUAAAGCACUUUAAGCAGGGAGGAGAGGCUAAUGGUUAAUACCCAUUAGAUUAGACGUUACCUGCAGAAUAAGCACCGGCUAACUCUGUGCCAGCAGCCGCGGUAAUACAGAGGGUGCGAGCGUUAAUCGGAAUUACUGGGCGUAAAGCGAGUGUAGGUGGCUCAUUAAGUCACAUGUGAAAUCCCCGGGCUUAACCUGGGAACUGCAUGUGAUACUGGUGGUGCUAGAAUAUGUGAGAGGGAAGUAGAAUUCAGGUGUAGCGGUGAAAUGCGUAGAGAUCUGGAGGAAUACCGAUGGCGAAGGCAGCUUCCUGGCAUAAUAUUGACACUGAGAUUCGAAAGCGUGGGUAGCAAACAGGAUUAGAUACCCUGGUAGUCCACGCCGUAAACGAUGUCUACUAGCCGUUGGGGUCCUUGAGACUUUAGUGGCGCAGUUAACGCGAUAAGUAGACCGCCUGGGGA
RNAcentral lists this ribosomal RNA (875 nucleotides) under uncultured bacterium. RNAcentral's name for it is "bacterial SSU rRNA". It matches the Rfam family "Bacterial small subunit ribosomal RNA", at positions 1 to 879 of the family's 1533-position model. The record is from RNAcentral.